Molecule: ribosomal RNA, 253 nt
Filed under: uncultured bacterium
Lineage: Bacteria
Description: partial 16S ribosomal RNA
Rfam family: Bacterial small subunit ribosomal RNA
Source: RNAcentral
AACGUAGGAGACGAACGUUAUCCGGAGUUACUGGGCGUAAAGGGCGUGCAGGCGGUCUGCUAAGUCAGACGUGAAAUCCCUCGGCUUAACCGGGGAACUGCGUCUGAUACUGGAUGGCUUGAAUCCGGGAGAGGGAUGCGGAAUUCCAGAUGUAGCGGUGAAAUGCGUAGAUAUCUGGAGGAACACCGGUGGCGAAGGCGGCAUCCUGGACCGGCAUUGACGCUGAGGAGCGAAAGCCAGGGGAGCAAACGGG